RNAcentral lists this ribosomal RNA (211 nucleotides) under uncultured archaeon. RNAcentral describes it as "partial 16S ribosomal RNA". It matches the Rfam family "Archaeal small subunit ribosomal RNA", at positions 462 to 673 of the family's 1478-position model. The record is from RNAcentral.
UAGCCGCGGUAAUACCAGCUCCUCGAGUGGUUGGGGCGUUUAUUGGGCCUAAAGCAUCCGUAGCCGGCUCUAUAGGUCCUCCGUUAAAUUCAACGGCUCAACCGUUGAGCUGCGGGGGAUACCGUAGGGCUAGGGAGCGGGAGAGGCGGACGGUACUCCGUGGGUAGGGGUGAAAUCUUAUAAUCCCGGGAGGACCACCAGUGGCGAAGGC